Molecule: ribosomal RNA, 490 nt
Filed under: uncultured bacterium
Lineage: Bacteria
Description: partial 16S ribosomal RNA
Rfam family: Bacterial small subunit ribosomal RNA
Source: RNAcentral
AUUGAACGCUGGCGGCAUGCCUUACACAUGCAAGUCGAACGGCAGCAUGAUCUUGCUUGCUAGAUUGAUGGCGAGUGGCGAACGUGUGAGUAAUACAUCGGAACGUGCCCUGUAGUGGGGGAUAACUAGUCGAAAGAUUAGCUACUACCGCAUACGACCUGAGGGUGAAAGUGGGGGACCGCAAGGCCUCAUGCUAUAGGAGCGGCCGAUGUCUGAUUAGCUAGUUGGUGAGGUAAAGGCUCACCAAGGCGACGAUCAGUAGCUGGUCUGAGAGGACGAUCAGCCACACUGGGACUGAGACACGGCCCAGACUCCUACGGGAGGCAGCAGUGGGGAAUUUUGGACAAUGGGCGAAAGCCUGAUCCAGCAAUGCCGCGUGUGUGAAGAAGGCCUUCGGGUUGUAAAGCACUUUUGUCCGGAAAGAAAUGGCUCUGGUUAAUACCUGGGGUCGAUGACGGUACCGGAAGAAUAAGGACCGGCUAACUACGUG